This 486-nucleotide ribosomal RNA is filed under the name uncultured bacterium. RNAcentral's name for it is "bacterial SSU rRNA". It matches the Rfam family "Bacterial small subunit ribosomal RNA", at positions 28 to 509 of the family's 1533-position model. The record is from RNAcentral.
GAUGAACGCUAGCGGCAGGCCUAACACAUGCAAGUCGAGGGGCAGCACAGGUAGCAAUACUGGGUGGCGACCGGCGGAUGGGUGCGUAACGCGUAUGCAACCUACCAUUGAUUGGGGCAUAGCCCGAAGAAAUUCGGAUUAAUACUCCAUAAUAUUCAUCAAAGGCAUCUUUUAUGAAUUAAAGCUUUUGCGAUCAAUGAUGGGCAUGCGUGACAUUAGUUAGUUGGUGAGGUAACGGCUCACCAAAACGAUGAUGUCUAGGGGUUCUGAGAGGAUUAUCCCCCACACUGGUACUGAGACACGGACCAGACUCCUACGGGAGGCAGCAGUGAGGAAUAUUGGUCAAUGGGCGGAAGCCUGAACCAGCCAUUCCGCGUGAAGGAAGAAGGCCUUAUGGGUUGUAAACUUCUUUUCUGUUAGAAGAAUAAGCCCGUCGUGACGGGUGAUGCCGGUAUAGCAGGAAUAAGCAUCGGCUAACUCCGUGCC